CUGCAUCCACUGACAGACCUUAGAUAAUUCGUGACUGCUCUUCUGGUUUGCACUAGGAUAUAAAAGAACAUGCUCCCUGUGCUUUCUGCCUGUCUUUGUGGUCAAGACUGAAGUGAGAAGUACAUCU
Small nucleolar RNA from Mesocricetus auratus (golden hamster), 127 nucleotides. NCBI's taxonomy places the organism in Eukaryota, Metazoa, Chordata, Mammalia, Rodentia, Cricetidae. The record is from Ensembl.